UGUGAGGAUGUCAUGAGAAGAUGUUCAUCUGCAAGCCAGGAAGCAGGCCCUCCCCAGACACUGGACCUGCUGGCACCUUGAUCUUGGACUUCCCAGCUUCUAGUACUAUGAGAAAUAAAUGUGUAUUGUUUGAGUCACCCACUCUUCGGUAAUGUGUUGCAGCAGCCUGAACUGACUAAGACACCAUCUUGUUUCUGAAGUCUUAUGACUCCCUACCACUUCCAGGGACCUGCCAACUCCACUCAUAAUCGUGAAACACUGAAUCCUUACCAAAAAAGGAAUGCUUCCAGGAAAAUGUCAUAUGGUGUGUUUGAUAAUUUGGGACUCAGGCUUAGAUUCUAGCCGUUCUCAGCAUCAGGUGACUCUGCUCCUUGAAAAUACAUUUAAGUGAUGCCAUUCCUGUCCAAAACCACCACUGACUCCUUCUUCAGAGGGCAAGCCUUGAAAUCAUGUGCAUUUGCCUGUGAGACGUUUCUCCGAUUAUCUGAAAAUCUUCUGCCAGGGAUAAGGCGAUUUGUCUCCAUUCUGUCUGAGGUUGCGGAUCUUGGUUUGCAGAGGAGGGCUGCAACGUAGUAGGUUCCUCCACGUGGCUUCUCACUGAAGCCAGAAUGACUCAUUUAGAGAGUAAUCUUGGUGCGGCCUCUUGCUGCCCUCUGGUGGAGAAAACGGGUAUUGAACAAGCCAUAACGACUGAUCUCUGAGGCAAAUGCUGUGAAGUGUCAGCGCAAAGGUCCACGGGGAAUAAUUACACUUCAAGCUAUUAUCUAAAUGAACGGAGUUCAUCUAAAUGAAUGGAGUUGGAACGGUUGUUCUAUGAGAAUCUGAUUUCUCAGCAAGAGAAGUUUUAAUUCCAUCCCCUUUUUAUUUCUGUUUGCUGCGAACUGGUUUCUCAUUUCUCCACACUUGCUCUUCCUUUUCGUGAACAAUCAUUUUGUGUAUUUUGAGAUCAUUAUAAAAUUCUUGUACGCUCAUUUUAAAACAUUUCCAGAAAGUGAAAGUCAGCAUGUGACCCAGGAAAAUUCUAAUUCUUAAAACACUCAAGACUCUAAACUAGGGUUUAGACCUAUAUAUUCAGAUCUAAUUCCAAACCAAAAUUCAUUUCAGAAGUUUAAAUAAAACGUAUUAGUCUUA
RNAcentral lists this long non-coding RNA (1131 nucleotides) under Homo sapiens (human). RNAcentral's name for it is "PREDICTED lncRNA (TCONS_00194725)". Lineage: Eukaryota; Metazoa; Chordata; Mammalia; Primates; Hominidae. The record is from RNAcentral.